AGGUGGUAUUCAAUACCCAAAUAUCAGAGUCUGAAUCACUCAAUAAAAAAUAGGUCUGUAUCAUAUACACAUCUUUUGAUGUUACACUUGCACCCUACUUCAAUCUUACAAGAUUAUUCUUACAAUUAUACUCUCAAUUUUCAAAUUUAUCAUAAAUAAUAUCCAUACGGACAUCAUUACCUUCUCAUUAUUACUGAUCAAACUAGGGUCAGAAAUAUCCAGAAUAUCGAAGUUCUUUUCUGAUAUAAACCUAAUUUGUAAGUUCCUCAACCAAUCCACAUAGUUGUAUCGGUCAACAUAGUUUUAUUUAUUGUA
Molecule: long non-coding RNA, 315 nt
Filed under: Elaeis guineensis (African oil palm)
Lineage: Eukaryota; Viridiplantae; Streptophyta; Magnoliopsida; Arecales; Arecaceae
Description: long non-coding RNA (EGUI_LNC060990)
Source: RNAcentral